GGCGGACGGGUGAGUAAUGUCUGGGAAACUGCCCGAUGGAGGGGGAUAACUACUGGAAACGGUAGCUAAUACCGCAUAACGUCGCAAGACCAAAGAGGGGACCUUCGGGCCUCUUGCCAUCGGAUGUGCCCAGAUGGGAUUAGCUAGUAGGUGGGGUAACGGCUCACCUAGGCGACGAUCCCUAGCCGGUCUGAGAGGAUGACCAGCCACACUGGAACUGAGACACGGUCCAG
RNAcentral lists this ribosomal RNA (233 nucleotides) under uncultured bacterium. RNAcentral's name for it is "partial 16S ribosomal RNA". It matches the Rfam family "Bacterial small subunit ribosomal RNA", at positions 97 to 334 of the family's 1533-position model. The record is from RNAcentral.